AACUUUAGGCGGUGGAUCACUCGGCUCGUGCGUCGAUGAAGAACGCAGCCAGCUGCGUGAAUUAAUGUGAAUUGCAGGACACAUUGAACAUCGACAUUUUGAACGCAUAUUGCGGCCAAGGGUCCGUCUCUUGGCCACGCCCGUUUGAGGGUCG
Ribosomal RNA from Pomacea canaliculata, 154 nucleotides. RefSeq annotates it as 5.8S ribosomal RNA. The record is from RefSeq and is a predicted model, not a curated record. Lineage: Eukaryota; Metazoa; Mollusca; Gastropoda; Architaenioglossa; Ampullariidae. The transcript has a single exon.